Molecule: ribosomal RNA, 325 nt
Filed under: uncultured eukaryote
Lineage: Eukaryota
Description: partial 18S ribosomal RNA
Rfam family: Eukaryotic small subunit ribosomal RNA
Source: RNAcentral
CCCUUAGAUGUUCUGGGCUGCACGCGCGCUACACUGAUGCAUUCAACGAGCCUAUCCUUGACCGACAGGUCCGGGUAAUCUUUGAAUCUGCAUCGUGACGGGGAUAGAUUAUUGCAAUUAUUAAUCUUCAACGAGGAAUGCCUAGUAGGCGCAAGUCAUCAGCUUGCGUCGAUUACGUCCCUGCCCUUUGUACACACCGCCCGUCGCUCCUACCGAUUGGGUGUGCUGGUGAAAUGUUCGGAUCGGCCGUUUGUCGCGGUUUCCGCGUCAUGUGGCUGAGAAGUUCAUUAAACCCUCCCACCGAGAGGAAGGAGAAGUCGUAACA